RNAcentral lists this ribosomal RNA (468 nucleotides) under uncultured bacterium. Its description in RNAcentral is "partial 16S ribosomal RNA". It matches the Rfam family "Bacterial small subunit ribosomal RNA", at positions 28 to 507 of the family's 1533-position model. The record is from RNAcentral.
GACGAACGCUGGCGGCGUGCUUAACACAUGCAAGUCGAACGGAAAGGCCCUGCUUUUGUGUGGUGCUCGAGUGGCGAACGGGUGAGUAACACGUGAGUAACCUGCCCUUGACUUUGGGAUAACUUCUGGAAACUGGGGCUAAUACCGGAUAGGAGCUCCUGCUGCAUGUUGGGGGGUGGAAAGUUUCGGCGGUUGGGGAUGGACUCGCGGCUUAUCAGCUUGUUGGUGGGGUAGUGGCUUACCAAGGCUUUGACGGGUAGCCGGCCUGAGAGGGUGACCGGCCACACUGGGACUGAGAUACGGCCCAGACUCCUACGGGAGGCAGCAGUGGGGAAUAUUGCACAAUGGGCGGAAGCCUGAUGCAGCAACGCCGCGUGAGGGAUGACGGCCUUCGGGUUGUAAACCGCUUUUGGCUGGGAAGAAGCGUGAGUGACGGUAACGGGUGAAGAAGCGCCGGCUAACUACGUG